This 517-nucleotide small RNA is filed under the name Physconia grisea. Its description in RNAcentral is "eukaryotic LSU rRNA". The stretch from base 161 to 314 matches the Rfam family "5.8S ribosomal RNA". The record is from RNAcentral. Lineage: Eukaryota; Fungi; Ascomycota; Lecanoromycetes; Caliciales; Physciaceae.
CGGGGUCUAAUCGGCCCCAACUCUUCACCCCUGUUUACCAAAUCUAUGUUGCUUUGGCGGGUCAGCCGGGCCUCUCGGGGAAGGUAAACCCCUUCUCGCGCCCGCCAAAAGCCCAAGCAAACCCUGUGAUCAGUGUCGUCCGAGUAUACACAAUCGUUAAAACUUUCAACAACGGAUCUCUUGGUUCCGGCGUCGAUGAAGAACGCAGCGAAAUGCGAAAAGUAAUGUGAAUUGCAGAAUUCCGUGAAUCAUCGAAUCUUUGAACGCACAUUGCGCCCUUUGGUAUUCCGAAGGGCAUGCCUGUUCGAGCGUCAUUGCACCCCUCAAGCACUGCUUGGUAUUGGGCCUCGCCCCCGUGGCGGGCCCGGAUUCUAGUGGCGGCCCAGCGAGACUUCAAGCGUAGCAAGAUUAUCACAUCCCGCUUAGCAAGCCUAUCUCGCUGCGUGCCGGCCAGACAACCCCAUCCAUCUUCAAUGAUUGACCUCGGAUCAGGUAGGGAUACCCGCUGAACUUAAGC